RNAcentral lists this unclassified non-coding RNA (339 nucleotides) under soil metagenome. RNAcentral's name for it is "partial contains 5.8S ribosomal RNA, internal transcribed spacer 2, and large subunit ribosomal RNA". The stretch from base 1 to 120 matches the Rfam family "5.8S ribosomal RNA", at positions 35 to 154 of the family's 154-position model. The record is from RNAcentral.
GAUGAAGAACGUAGCGAAAUGCGAUAAGUAAUGUGAAUUGCAGAAUUCAGUGAAUCAUCGAAUCUUUGAACGCACAUUGCGCCCUUUGGUAUUCCGAAGGGCAUGCCUGUUCGAGCGUCAUUACAACCCUCAAGCUCUGCUUGGUAUUGGGCACCGUCCUUUGCGGGCGCGCCUCAAAGACCUCGGCGGUGGCGUCUUGCCUCAAGCGUAGUAGAACAUACAUCUCGCUUCGGAGCGCAGGGCGUCGCCCGCCGGACGAACCUUCUGAACUUUUCUCAAGGUUGACCUCGGAUCAGGUAGGGAUACCCGCUGAACUUAAGCAUAUCAAUAUGCGGAGGA